Non-coding RNA from Acanthosepion pharaonis, 108 nucleotides. Lineage: Eukaryota; Metazoa; Mollusca; Cephalopoda; Sepiida; Sepiidae. The record is from the annotation of a GenBank genome assembly.
CAGCCAGAUCACGUUAAAACACCGGUCCUCUUACGGUCACCGAAGUUAAGCAACGUUGAGCCGGAUCAGUAACUAGAUGAGUGACCACUUGGAUGUGCGGGUGGUGUA